CCCCGGGAGAUUUAAACCGCGCCUUACUAGUGAUGUACAUUCGCUCGGAUAAUACCAGGAGAGAUUAUUUUGGGGGGAGGGUGUUGUAAGCGUUUCAUUUUCCUCGCUUCUUUCUCGUGCCGUUUUCGCGGACGUUUUCUUCUAAGUUUUGCUGGCCUUCCACGGGAGAUGGAGCGUUUGCUGCCGGUGUGGCAAGUGUUGGGGCGAGACGGGUAACCUGCUUCCCCAGAAAGGAGAUGUGUGAAAAUUCUUUGUCCUCUAGGAUACAGACAGUGAGUGUGGGAGUUAGCACAGAACCUUGCUAUGCCAGGUGGGAAGUAGAGACAGACGAAGUUAUUCUCCAGCGGUGGCAAAAGCAGAUAGAUUAUGGCAAGUGCACACCUGGCUACCAGUGCUUUCUGCACCAGGUCCUCAAGGCACAGUGACAGCCUGGGCUUCACCCUGAAACACUAAACAAGAACAGGAGGUACAGCCAUCACUCCUGGGAUGCCCAGAUCAGACAGUGGAGAAGAGCCCCACAUUCCUGGGAUCCUCCCAGCUAGCCUCUGCAGGGCAGAGGGGCUGAGGGGCAGGGAAUGAAGAGUCUCUUAGAGCCAAUGGAUUCCACUCCUUUGGAUGACCGGCUCCAGGCCCUGGAGCCCUCAGAAUAUGGAUGGAGAGUAUCCUUUGCUGAAACCCAUUGGAGCAGGGUCACAAAUGGGGUUUGGCUCAUGAGGGCACAAUUAAGAUGCAGUUCAAAGCAGUGGCCCAAGAACAAAAGACUAAAAAGGGGGCAGCAGGGAAAGAGCAGGACAUGAGUAAAAAAUCCUUGGGAACUAAAAGUGGAAUAAGGAGAUUUAAUUAUGGGUAGGAGUGUUGGGCUGCACUGGGAGGCCAUUUUAUAGAUGAUGAAAGGGGAUGUAAACUUCCUUUGAAAUGAGGCCUGAAACUUGACUUGCAGGGUUGUUGUUUUGUUGUUGUUGUUUUGUUUUGUUUUGUUUUGGGUCUCAGUUUCUUUCAAUGUUUUGCAAAUAAGCCAAUGCCUACUUUUAACUCAACCAUUUUAAAAUAAUUAAAUUAUUAAUUUAAUUAUUAAUUAAAUUAAUAAUUUAAUUAAUAAUAAAAAGGUGAACAGCUUAGUGGCGAAAAGCAAGGGCUUUUAGACUGCUUUUUGAGAGUACCUUUGCCUACCAUGUGGGCAGUCACUUAACUUCUUGGGCUGUUUCAUUUGUCAAAGAGAAGGUUUGUUUCAUUUGAUGAUUGUAAGAAAAAAUGAGAAUAUAUAUCAAAGUAUGUAGGUCAAGUGUGGUGGUUCACACCUGGAAUCCCAGCACUUCGUUUUUUGUUCAUUUGUUUGUUUUUUUUGAGACAGAGUCUCAUUCUGUUGCCUAGGCUGGAGUGCAGUGGCACAAUCUCGGCUCACUGCAAUCUCUGCCUCCCCGGUUCAAGCGAUUCUCCUGCCUCAGCUUCCCGAGUAGCUGGGAUUACAGGUGGGCGCCACAAUGCCCAGCUAAUUUUUGUAUUUUUUAGUAGAGAUGGGGGUUUCACCAUGUUGCCAGGCUGGUCUCGAACACCUGACCUCAGUUGAUCCAUCUGCCUCAGCCUCCCAAAGUGCUAGGAUUACAGGUGUGAGACACCACGCCAAUCCCAGCACUUUGUGAGGCCAAGAUGGGAAGAUUGUUUGAGGCCAGGAGUUUGAGACUACGCUGGGCAACAUAGCAAGACGCCUCUCUCUACAAAAAUAGAAAUAAAUAUGCUGGGCAUGGUGGCACACCCCUGUAGUUCUAGCUAUUCAGGAGGCUGAGAUGGAAAGGAUUGCUUGAGCCCAGAAGUUCAAGGCUGCAGUGAGCUAUGAUCGCCUCACUGCACUCCAGCCUGAGCAACAGCAAGACCCUGUUUUUUUUAAAAAAAAAAAAAAAAAAAAAAAGUAGCAUGGUGUCUGGCACAUAAGAGCAAUUGUUGGAAACCAUGUGUCCCCUACUUCAUGGCCCCUAACUCUGCUCCUUUUGCCAAGGGGAAAUAGGCAGUGCAAGGUAAAUCUCUCCACCCCUAUUUUCUCAGUUAGUACUGUACCUCACUUUUCCUCUACUCUUUUUCAGUUUGCAGACUUGGUGGCUCCUGCCUCCUCCCCUCCCUGGCUCAGUGAGGAAGAACCCCGCC
Pongo pygmaeus (Bornean orangutan) is the source of this 2139-nucleotide RNA transcript. It is a transcript of the gene named oocyte-specific histone RNA stem-loop-binding protein 2-like, with no coding region annotated. The record is from RefSeq and is a predicted model, not a curated record. The transcript is spliced from 5 exons. Lineage: Eukaryota; Metazoa; Chordata; Mammalia; Primates; Hominidae.